AGGGACACCACACUCGGUGUCAGCCUCUGAGGCCAUGGAGCCACGCAGACCCAGCACAGGAUUAGAAACAGACCUUCCCGGGAGGCAGAGAGCCAGGCCUCCUGGUUUAUAGCAUGACAAGGCAGCACUCAGGAGGACGCAUCAAUCCUUCUCCAUGUCAGCACCUGUGACUGUGACCACUGGUGAGGUGGACAUGCUUCUUUUUCCAUUUUACAGAUGAGGAAACUGAGGCCAAGGGAGGGUCAGCAGCCUGCCCUGGGCUGACUGGUGAUGCAGCGAGGGUGGGGUGUGGGAGGGUGGCGGCGGCCCUUGCAGUCCCUGGGAACCUGCACCUCUUCCUGGGCGCUGUUCCCCUCUCUCUCCCAGGACCCUUGGGCCUGGCGUUUCUUCACCUGCGACCAUCCAGGAGCUGGACCUGCCCUAGGGCGUCAGUUUCCAGGGAAGCCUCUGGCCUGUGUGUGAGCCUCCCCACCUGCCCGGCCACGGCCUCCACAGGCGCCCUGCGCAGCCCCGCCCCUCCUGGGGCAAAGGCUUUGCGAAGACUUUCUUCUCUGGCUCAUCCCUUUAAGGAGGCAUAAAAACGAACCCCGGGCCUCACAGGUCCGGAAUGCGCCCCCCUCCACGAUGGGAGCUUCUUGGCCUUGGCUGUGCAGGGGCCGCGGCUCCUGGGGGUCUGGCCGGAUCUGCAGUAGUGCUGAAUGAGCUGUGGCCAGGAAGACGCAAUGAAUAAUUGUCACUUAAAAGGAUAAACAGAAAUUCCAUUUCCCUUUUAAAUACUUGAACAUUUCAAAACAUCUGGAGGACGCGAUGCUUUUCCUUCCAAGCAUCUCCGUGGAGUUUUGUGGGUUACCGCAGAGGAUCGGCAGCAUUCCUCUCUCAGGGAAAACUGGCCUGAGCAUUGCAUAACGCAGGCAGACUGCACCCCUCACGUCGCCUGGGGCCACAUGCACAUGUUUCCAAGAGACUUGCUGGAGAAUCUUCCCCGGAUCUUGACAAAGUUGGACAUGGAAAGCACGUUGGUCCAUCCAAGGUCCACAGAGCGACCCUGGCUAUGAAAAAUCAUCCUCCGAGUGGGAGUCUGUCUGCCAGGAGUGAGGUGACACCGCACAUGGCCUCAGGAGCUGGAAACGCUGGUGAAUUCAGAUGCAGCCAAAGCUUCUAACUUAGUCACAGUUAUUAAUUAUUCUUGGUCUUAUUGGAGCAGGAACCACUGCCAUGCAUCAGGCCAGCAAGGCUCACUCCCCACCGUAGGAUCCCUGUGUAGACGGUCGCUCCAUCAGUGUAGUUGGGUGUGUGGAGCAAGGGACUGGGCUGACCCUACCUUCCAAGCAUCGAUGUGGCCUUCAGCAGAGCAGGAGGAGAUAGCCCAGGACUUGUACUUUGCAGUUGAAGUGCCAGACCUAAGAAAUGCAAACCUGAGGAUGGAAAGAGGGUGGAGAGGGGGGAGGUGUCUGGAUUGGCCGUCCAGAGCAGCCCCAGCUGCAGCAAGUGGAACUUGGCUGGCUGCCUCACAGGCCUGGUGGCAGCGUCCCCAGCGAGGAGCCUGUCCCACAUAUGAAGGUCCCCAUACCCUUAGCCCCUAGCUGAGAGUUUCACUGACCAGAGCUCCCUGAGUCCAGGGCUCCACUCAAGGGACUGCUGUCCCCGUUGGUGAAGAAGGCCUGUUGGGGCCAAUGCUUCCCCCCACAGGGAAGCGGAGCUGUAUUUUGUCGGACAGAACUUUGCAAGCCUGAAACAGCUGGUGGUGGCCCCAGAGCCAAGAUCUGACCUCACUCCAGAGUUGAAGGGCACAGAGAAGGCACAGCUAGAGGCGGCAGGUACCCCUCAAAGCUCUCGGGAGAGGGUACAAAGUGGGACCUCCCAGCACCCUUGGCCUCCAGGCCUCAAAAGCCCUGAGAGGGCUGCAUGCAAGGAGACAAAGCUGGAGAAGGAUGUGGGAGGCAGGUGGCUAAGAAGACAGGCUGGAAAGGGACGUGGGAGGUAGGUGGCUUUGCUCUAAACAGAAUCGUCUCAGUAAUGUGACACUGCACAUGUAUAGGUAGGCUCGCUCAUGGGCAUAACCCUCUAAAACACACCUUUUAUGGAGUGAAAUUCACUUAACAGCCAUCUUGAAGCAUAUACUUCGGCGGCAUUUGCUGGAUUCACGACGUUGUGCAACCUCUGCUUCUCCAGUUUCAGAACAUUUCAUCCCUCCAGAACAACAGCUCAUCCCCAUUAAGUAAUCACUCCUCAUUCCUUCCCCAUCCUCUGGAAACCACAGAUCUGCUUUCUGUCUCUAUGGAUUUGUCCGUUUUGGAUAUUUCAUAUAAAAGGAAUCACGCGGUGUGCGAA
Molecule: long non-coding RNA, 2331 nt
Filed under: Homo sapiens (human)
Lineage: Eukaryota; Metazoa; Chordata; Mammalia; Primates; Hominidae
Description: non-protein coding LINC00565:10
Source: RNAcentral